RNAcentral lists this ribosomal RNA (253 nucleotides) under uncultured bacterium. RNAcentral describes it as "partial 16S ribosomal RNA". It matches the Rfam family "Bacterial small subunit ribosomal RNA", at positions 524 to 776 of the family's 1533-position model. The record is from RNAcentral.
UACGUAGGGGGCGAGCGUUGUCCGGAAUCAUUGGGCGUAAAGCGCGUGUAGGCGGCCCGGUAAGUCCGCUGUGAAAGUCCAGGGCUCAACCCUGGGAUGCCGGUGGAUACUGUCGGGCUCGAGUCCGGAAGAGGCGAGUGGAAUUCCUGGUGUAGCGGUGAAAUGCGCAGAUAUCAGGAGGAACACAAAUGGCGAAGGCAGCUCGCUGGGACGUGACUGACGCUGAGACGCGAAAGCGUGGGGAGCAAACAGG